CACAUUCUCAUAGGAGUAAUGAUCAAUUAUUUUGUCCUUAUUUUUUGGCAGAACUCUCUAAAUAAUUAGGUAGCUCUCUAAAUAUUAGGUACCACCCAUAUUCUAGCCUUUCUGCAUUAUUUUACGAUCAAUCCUUACACUUUUCUUUUGUUUGCAAUGUGUAGGAGGUAACAGCCAACUUAUCCCCAGGUACUCUGACAAAGCCAGUUUCUUUUUAAUUAUUUUUAAUUCGACUAUUCCUGUCCCCAGCCUUAAGUAGAAUAUAUGUAAGCGCAGGUAAUUAGUUUUGGGGAACUGCUACUAGCAUAAUUGUUAACACUUGGUACCAACUAAAAUUAGUUUUGGGUGUUUAUUAUGGUGCGCUCUUAGGUAAUGGCACUUGAAUGGAUUGGGUUGUCAGUAAGUAUUUAGAAGAGAAGUAGUUGCAUAGUCUCUACUUAUCAAAAACAACUAUCUACUUUUUCGAUGCACGGCACUGCUUCCUUUCAACAAAUCUUAGCUCCCUAAAAUUAAGGAUGCUGCGUAACAUCUCCUCGCAGAAAUCCUUCCUCUGAUAAUCGCCUGGGUCACAUAAUUUUCCAAUCUUCAUGGAUUUUUUCUCGUUUAACGCAUGACCUGCACUCCAUCUCACUUACACGACCAAAUGGUACCACAGAUGAAUGGGAUGCUGGAUGCUGUGUCCCGUGCUCUCUGCUCUUACCGGGUUUGAGCAUUGUCAUUUUGGGGUGUCGGACACGCCCAUUUAAAUACAGUUAUUUCAUUGGAUCGCGUGUGUCAUCCCGCGUGCAAUCCCUCUCACACGUACCAAGCUGCACAAGCUACGUACGGGAUUCGGGGGCAAGUCACCAGAUGAGAAAUUCAUGUAUGGAUGGCCGAUACAGCAAGAACAGCACAACGGUCCGCAUCGCUUGAGUAGCCAUCGAGUGUGGAUAUGUGUGCAUGUGUAUGGGUUGGUGCACGGAUUUUUUGGUACACGACUGGGCACAGCAUCCAGCGAGAAACCAGAUUUCCUCUCGGCCGCUUUGGGCAUCUUUUGGUUUUUUCGGAUUUGCUUUAGUAUAUUUCGGAUCUCGACGAGUGAGUGCGAGGCUUACGGCUAGGUGGUGCGUGGUCUAUGCUGGGAAAUCUUAAAAGAUCUUAAGGAGCGAGCGUGUGUGCCCUGAAAAGUGCGUUUCUUAGGUACUAUGUAUUUGUGCCGUUUGCUUUUCGCAAGGAUUCCGAGAUGUGGGAGUGAAUGAAAAGGAACGUGCUGUAAUCAUCCCCGUUUUGUCCUUUUUCCAUUUGCCUGAGUCUACAUAUACACACUACGCUCAGACCUAUUUUGUUGUUGUCCUCCGUUAGGAUUUCGAUUUUUGAUUUUGGUCCUUCGUUUCUUUGAAUCUGGGAUUUUGUUUAUGGACCUUGCGAGCGGUCAUGCUCGAGGGCAAAAUAGUCAAAUAAAAAAUCAGUUUCCGUUCGGCCGUGUCCUGAGAUAGUACUUAAUUGCAGUGCACACGUUGCGGACUUCUCGGACUGCGUGACGUAACAUUGUUGAUUGCAGAGAGUUAUUAUUGCUGAGAAAAUAACGUGUUUUUGCCUUAACAGAUCGUAGUAAGGAACAUACAAUUACACAAAAUUAGAACGAUAAAAUAAUGUGUAGUUCAAAAGUGCGCAUAUAGUGCAGUUGAUAUUUAAAGUCUAAACUAUUCGGCGGCUGGAACGUGUUGAGAGUGUGUAAUUAUGUGGAAACUUUAUUAGAUCAAGACGAUUUUAGACAUUAUCCUUUGGGAAAUAUUGACAUUAGUCGUGGAACCGAUUGAAUAAAAAAUAAAACAUUGAACAUUAUGAUGGAAAAAACUACUCCUGCAAAUUAUUUUGGACUACAGGCCCCCGAAAAAUCCUUAAAUGGAAGACCGGUAGAAAGUCAGUAUUCACGUUUUCAAGGAAGGAGAAGUAAUUGUAAUUUAGUUAGCGACUUGGUAUAUUAUCCGUUUCUGUAUAAAAUUCAUCCAUUCCCUCUGAGUUAUCACACAUUAGUGAAAUCCUAUUUAGCUUAAUAAAGGAUCAGUAAUUAGGUUGGGAUUCGAAAACUCAUUAAAAACUGUCUUUGUCAUUUUGGAGGUUGGCGGGAGAGGUAUGUUAGGCCUGCUUUAUCUGAAGUAGACUUUAGGAUGAUACUAAUGGACUUAUAGGUUUUAUAUGAACGGUAAAUUCAUUUAUGAAAAAGUCGUUCUUAUAUAUUCUAUUCACUAAAUAAUUCUGUGAUGGCGAUCCGGAAAACUUUAGGCUAAAAAGUGAAAACAUUUGAAAUUUUUUUUUGUGGGAAAAUUGAAGUAAGUUAAUUUUUUUAAAAGAUUCUAAUAUAAUAUCGCGUGUAGAUAAUCUAAAUUGUUAUUGAGCAGGGCAAUCCGUUUUAACUAGUAUGAUUGCUUGUUUUAAUGACUAUAGUAAAACGCUGUAGUGGCAUUCCCACUUUUCAAGACGGCGUAUUUGUGAAGAAGAAUUAUUCGAAUCUUUCAAGAACUUUAUUGGAAAAAUUAAUCUUUAAAAUCUUUAUUUAUCUUGUUGUUUUUGGAAUUAUUUCUUAGAUGUAAGGUAAAAAUAAUUUAUUUUAAUUGCUUGAGUCGAAAUGUCAAGAGUCGUUGCCUUGCCUUAAAAUGCAAUUUUUGAAAUGCAACCUAACCAAUUUAUUACUUAUGAUUUGUAGGAAAAAAAAUCUACUGUUUUUUUUUUUUUUAAUUUAAUGUUAAAUGUGUGUAUGAGUUAUUUUAAUGUAAUCGUCGAUUAUUAUCAAAUCGCAAUCAGUUGUCAAUUUUGAAUUCCUCGAGUUGAAGGACUUUCUUUUUGGUACUUUUUUAUUUAUUCGUCUAUUGGGCAGGCCUAGACCGGAUACCGGUUGUUGCGCCGUUGAUGAUGAUGAUGAUUGUUUAAAUACAUUUAAUGAUCAUUUAGAGAAAAAUAAGUACAUGACGAAAUAUGAUUUGUUUAUUAUGUUAAAAAUUCCUGCUUACCAUUAUUGUAAAAAGACAUAACAUUUUUUUGGAUCACUCGCAGGCAGUUCAGUAUUGAGUUGAUUCUUGGUGCAUAUUUGAUAUGCAGUUUUUUAGGUGCAAUAAUUAUAAUUCUUGAUGUGACGUUUUCUCUUUGUUUAAUUUUUUCAUCAUUUUCAGCAUUAGUGCCUGCCAUGGUGGUCACUAAUUGCUCGUGGCAUGAUGCAUAAAUGCAUAGAAGUAUAAAUAAUGCAUCAAAUAAAUUUUCAUCUACUUUCUAAGGAUCUAUUUGUAAUCAAACGAUUGACAAUUUCAAGUCCCACUCCGCUUCGACGGUUAACUAAUCAGUCUAGAGUCCCUUCGAUGAGCUAGAAUAUAUUAUUUUUUUUUUUUGCGAGGGAUCUUGACGCUUUUUGUUUUUAAUCUAUUCAUUCCAGUUUUAAAUCUGUAGAAACUAUUUGGCGCAGCAUCUUCACUAAGGAUACUGUGAAAAUGCAAUACUUAUUCUUUUACACAAAUCAAAUUGACAGUUAUCAAAUAUAAUAUUAUGUACAUUUGUAGUUAUCUACUUCAUCAGAUUUAGUUACUUCCUUUAACUUAUAAUUUCUAUAUCUUAUAAUUUAUUAGAGUUUGCACAUUGUGGAAGUAUUUUUUAGGGCAAUGAUGUUAAAACCCAUAGUUUUCCACUGUUGAAGACUUAAUAAUCUCCUCCAGGGAUGAAAUAAAUUCAAUGGGUACCUCACAUACAGUGUACGGCCAUCAAAUGUUCUGACCACAAGCGUGAUGAAAAAUAAAAAUUUCAAGGAUUUUUUCCGUGUUUAUUAUAGUUUUGAGGAAUAAAAUCACGCUUCAUCACUUUGUACUGAUGAAGGAAGUAAGUUGCUCCCGAAAUAUAUAUAUACAUAAUAAAAUAAAAUUGUAGUUUGGAGUAAGCUACUGGUCUAUCAAUUUUAGAAUUAACUACAAAUAGAAGACAAUAUCUAACCUCACACUUCAUCUGAUUCCACGAAUCAAGUCUCAUUAUUUUACAACCGGAAAAAUUUUAUUCACAAAGUAUGGAUCAAAGAACAGCUGAAGUUUUUGGUUUUCUAGUGAGUAGAAGUUCGCCAGUAGAAUCCAAGUUAUAUAGGAAAUACACGUGUGUAUAAAAAAAUUCUUUUAUUAUAAAAUUUUCUUUUUUAUUGAUAAGAAAGAACUAGGAAAAUAACAAUUUUUUAAUCGGGUUAUUAUUUUCUACAUUUAUAUUUGGUGGUCAGAGUUGAAAUUCGUUAAAGGGGUUAUGCUACUGUAGCUUCGCAAAAAAAGUAGCCUACGUAUUUUGGGUUUUAUUUUCAGCGGAGAAUAAAAUAUAUAAAAAUUC
Molecule: RNA transcript, 4329 nt
Organism: Hermetia illucens (black soldier fly)
Lineage: Eukaryota; Metazoa; Arthropoda; Insecta; Diptera; Stratiomyidae
Gene name: transcription factor btd-like
Exons: 2
Source: RefSeq, a predicted model, not a curated record